UUUAUGGAGAGUUUGAUCCUGGCUCAGGAUGAACGCUGGCGGCGUGCCUAAUACAUGCAAGUCGAGCGAACGGACGAGAAGCUUGCUUCUCUGAUGUUAGCGGCGGACGGGUGAGUAACACGUGGAUAACCUACCUAUAAGACUGGGAUAACUUCG
RNAcentral lists this ribosomal RNA (156 nucleotides) under Staphylococcus aureus. RNAcentral's name for it is "partial 16S ribosomal RNA". It matches the Rfam family "Bacterial small subunit ribosomal RNA", at positions 1 to 151 of the family's 1533-position model. Lineage: Bacteria; Bacillati; Bacillota; Bacilli; Caryophanales; Staphylococcaceae. The record is from RNAcentral.